CAAUACCUAGGCAUGCCAUGGCCCAGAACAUCAUUAGACUCCUGUGCUUUGUAUGUAAACAGCUUUCUUCCUCAAGCUGUGCUUUAGGAAACCAGUCUUCCUUUACCAAUGAAUAUGUGAACACUUGAAGUGAGAGCACUUCACUGAGUCUUUGAUUUCUCUGGCUCCAGGAAAAGAGAUAAACGUAUAUAGACUGAGAUGCUCCAGUGUCAGAUUAUAAGAAUCUGAAUCUCUUACUGUGACCCAGACCUUUGAUUGUCUGUUGUUUGCCCCAUCCAUAGAAUGAUGGCAACAUCGAAAGUUCCUGAAAAAGAGUUACGUAUUAUAAACUUAGAACAGGGUGUGACUAGUACCAGUGAUCCAAAGGCAGUGGCUAUAAUCAUUAUGGCUAUUUCUUAUUUGUGAAAAUUAAGUGAAAUAUCUGACUUGAAGUGCUUGGGAGGGCUCGCAUUUCUCUUUAUAUAUAAGAAAUCCACUCCUCCUUUAAAAUCAAAGUUAAGGGCUUCAGUAUUAAGUUCUUCAUUCAUUAAAUGCCUUCAGAACUGAUUUCUUUUUUCACUGGAUGAGUUUUCAUCACUAGUUUUUUUCACAAAAAGCAUCUUGACCAUUUGGAAAUUGAACAUAUCCCCUUGUGUCAUUGAUACCAACAUUGAGAGCAUACAUAAAUUUAAUUUAAAAGUUUAUCUCAGUCUUGAUUCUCCCUUGAAAUUUUCCUAUAGGAUGAUACAUAGAUGGCUUCCUGUACUUACUGUAGUCAUUUGGAGUAGAUUCAGACCCAGGUUAAUGUGGUCUUUGGUAAACAUCAAGAAGAUGAUUUUUUUUCAUUGAUUUUAUCAUAUAGAUCUACCAUGGUAUAAGAGUCUUCUCUUUCUGCUAAAUCUAGACACUACCUGUGACAAAAUCUCUUAAAGCCAUAUCCUUCCACUUUAUGGGCAACAGAGGUCUUACCCUCCCAAGAGAGUAGGAAACCUGUGUUAGCAAUUGCCAGUGAGAAUGAAAAUCUCUCCCUACAAGUUUAUCUCAUAUGAGCAUUAAUAUUCUCCAUAUGACUAUCUUUUAUAGUAUUUCAUUUUCCAAAUAUAUUUUCAAAACACAAGUUAUAUUAUUGUCCAUUACCAACCACUAAUGGAGAAUUUUAUGACUAACUUUCAAACCAGGAAUGAUUAUUUUUUAUGGGAAGAUACAUUUGCAAACCUAGAUAUGGUAGCAUUUAAAUGGCCACUUAUUUCUGGUAGAAAACUAGCCUGAUAAUAGCCUAAAACUCAGAUUUCCAUUCCAUGGUAACAUUAUCUUCAGGCCCAGAUGGAUGUCCUUUGCACUUAAAGAGCAUAAGCAAAACCAAUUUGAUGGAAAUAGGUUCUUUCUUAUCAUUAGGAAAUUUAGAAAUGGACAAAUACUGACUUGCAUAUUAAAUCUAUGAUCCAAGGCUAGGUCCAUUCCCCCAGUAGUCUGUUUGUUUUGUCUUUUCAAGAAGUCUGAAAAAAACACACAUCUCUACUAGAUGUUCCUUUGCUCAGGAAUGGUGGGCCCAGGGUGCUGUAGGUGCAACUGAGCAAUAAGAGCUCUUGUCUGUGCAUGACGAACACUGGGGGAUUCUGCCUUCACUCGCCUUUUCUCUUCUGCCCAUGAGCCUUUCAUGUUAUGCAUAUUUUCAGUCUAAAUUUCUAAAAAACAAAGACAACAAAACAAAACAAAACAAAAACCAAUAGAACUCUUAAAAUAAGACCAUUGUUGUUGUUUCUUAGUUUUAUGCACUACAUGAGCUGGGGGAAUCUAUUAAACAGUUUUCAAUCCUUUCUUUCUUUAUUAAUGUUUCUACGGUCUGUUUCCAACAUUGCUGAGGAGAGCUGUAAUAUAAACAAUGAUUCAGUGACAGAAUUUACAUAGUACUUACAGUGUAAAUAUUGCCGGAGAAUUUAUAUAGUACUUAUAGUGUAAAUACUGCUGGAGAGAGAUUUCUUAGUCUAAAAUACGUAUCCUAAAACCAAGGUGAUAGGUUGUGAAGAGGUUUUUUGGGGGUUUUUGUUGUUGGUUUUUGUUUUUGUUUUUGUUUUUACUUCUAAGAUGUACUUAUACUGACUUAUGUAAGUCAAAAUAAGUCAAGGACCCUCAAGUGUUUAUUUUAUAGCUAAUCUCCACUGCAUGAUUCUCCAAAAUCCAUAUCCAUUUGUUUGAAGUACAAAGGAUAGGAUGAAGAAAGAAAGCAAUUAUUAAAUAAAAUAGAGGUUAAAUGAUCUGCCCGAAACCCAGAACUGGCUGCUGACUACACCAAGAACCAGGAGAAUCAAACCACACUGGAUUCACCGUUCCUAAAGAGCUCAGGACUUCAACAUGACGUUUUGCAGAGCAUGGCCCAAUAUCUAUAUUAAUCAAUGUAAAAUAACUUUUACAUUAUUCAGGAAUUUAACUCAUAUAGGUCUAUAAAUGCUCAUAUGCCAUGGAAUGGGUGGUGACAAACCACCAGUAAUAUAACAUGACAAAUAUUUAUUUAAUUGCUAAUUCAUUACAAAUAAUCGUGGGUAGAAUUUUCAGUUUUGUUUUGUUUUGUUUUACUUUAAGGAAGUCACACAGUUCCAAUAAUUUGUGGUAAAUGAAACCACAACCUGGUCAAGUACUUUCAGAUUUUAAAAUUAAGAUUUAGUAAUAUGAAUACUCCUGAGAGUCAGUUUUUCCUUGUCAAAAGCAUAUGAAUGACAAACAUGAUUAGUGAAUGUAGAUGAAUUUCGCAAACAUAGAGGCAAAUAAAAGACUUCCUAAAUGAAAGAGAACCAGUUGAGUGCAAUCACUUUUCUAUGUUUAUGGCUACAGAUUACAAGAUCUUCCUGAAUGAUCCUUGGAAGUCUUUUAAGGCAGGAAAACUUUAAAAGACCCCUCACACAUGUUGCACCAUGCCUUGUGUAAAGGCUUCCCUUCCUGCUCCAUUCUUGAAACACUUAUCUGACUCACAUCAAAAGUCUCCGAUAUGCUUGACCCAGUAUGGUGUGUACACAUGGAUGUCUACCCAACCAUCUUUUCUACUAGACUCUUGACUUGGAGAGAGUAGAAGAAGUAGGUGUCCAGAUAUCUGGGGUGUUUUACACUAAGAAAUCAAGUCCCGCUGCAUAAAGAUAUUGGAAUGUCAAUGAAAUUCAAAGAAAUUCUUUAUGACUUAUACACACCAGAUCUCAUGCAUGGCUUUUUACGACUUUUUCUUUCACUCAAGUGACAAAUACAAGCAGAAACUCCAGCAGACUUAACAGUAUGAAUGGCAGACAGAGGACAUGAAACCCAUCCAUCCCUCCACUUGCUCUUUCAUUCAACAGAUUUAUCGUGAGAGAAUCUUCAUGUGUCAGACAUUCUGUCAGACCUGAGGAUCUAAAGAUGAAUAUGAUAGAUCCCCUGAAGCUCUGCCUCGUCAGAGAUAGACUAUAAACAGUAAUUAUAACACAAUGUGAUAAGGGCUUUGACAGAACAAUGCACCCUCUGCUGUGCGAUUUCUAAAGCAGGAAUAAAUGACUCUGCACACCAAAUUACUCCGUUUAAUUUUAAUACACCUUUAAUAUUCUUUCUUAUCUGAUUGUUUAGUAUGUAACUACCUUAAUUCAGAACAAAAAAGUAGGAAAGGGCCUAUGCAAAGUAAUGGGAGUUUAAAUAUUACAGUUCUAUUUCUAAACUAAUUAGUGUUCAUCAUUGUUCAUGUUAUACAUAGUUUGAAUCUCAAACAGAAAUCUAUAUAAAGUCUAAGCCAGAAAAGCUUUGCAUGACUUGCCUAGCAAACUCAUUAAUGGUGUCAUUUAUUUAGCUUUGAAAUUCAAAGAGAAUUCUUAAAAGAGAAUUACUCUAGUAGGCACCUUACAAGAAGAGGCAUGUGAGGGUAGGGGCAUAUUAUGUCAUGAAAACCGUUCAGAGUAAGUUAGAGACACAAAGACUGCUCUAGAAUGAAGGUGGGUGCCUGAGCUUGGAGCAGAAGUUCAUCUCCUGCUUUGUUGUUGUUUAUUAAUUAUUAUUACUAAAUAUUUUAUUAAAAAACUGACUGGAUGAGUAUAUUUAUUUUAUUUGUUAUAGGUUAUCAAUAUUUUUAAAGAAAUAACUAUGGAAAAUUAUGGCAUUUAAUAGUGGCAAUUAAAGUAUUUUUCUGAAUAAAUGAAAAAUAAACCUAAAAAUCAGAUCUCUUGCUGUUUUUUAAAUAAUCAUCAAGCUAUUGUUGAGAGUAAUGAAAAGUAAUAAAAGAACAAGACAUGAACAUAAUAGGAAUAAAAACAUUUAAAGAAAUUGGCAAUAUCAUAUGGUAUAGUUUUCCAGUUGUUUCUUUCUUUUUAAAAAAUAAAUAGAACAUUAUUUAAAAUUCUAUUAUUUUAGUACUUUCAAGGUUAUUUUUAUAGAGACAUCAAAUUUUUGUUUACUAAUGGGUUACAAUGUGUGAUUUUCAAGUAAGAGUAACUAGCAUACAUAUAGCUUUAAAGUAUUAACAUUUGCAUGAAGUAUACUCAAAGCCACAUAUAGUUUUAUUUUUAAUUACUUCCAUCCUGAAAUACUAGAACAUAGUCUAACAAACUUUAGCACUGCAUCAGAAGUCAGAGGUCUCCCAAUAGUCCCCAUACUUCCUCGGUUCCAAGCCUCUAGAACAGACCGACUCUCUCGGGUUCCUCAUGAGUGAGAUCAUGCAGUUUGUAUUUCUCUGUCUGACAAAUGAAAAGAAAAAUAUAUUAAACAAAAUGGAUCUGAAAAGGUCUAAAGCAAAGUUGAACAGAAUGGUGUUCUGUUUGAAAGCUUAAUUUGAAAAUCUCAGAGUGACCAGCACCCAGUGGUUAAACAUCUAAGAACCAACAGAAUGUCUAAGAGUAAAGAGAAACCAUGUUUAGGGGGCAGUGAAUGGGAUGUAAAGUGAAUAAGUACGAAAAAAUAAUUAAUUAAAUUUUAUAAAUUAAAUUAAAUUAAUUUUUAAAAAAGUGUGAGGAGAAAGCAAACCAAAGUAAACUGGACAGAGGCCAACAAGGGGCCAAUCACGCCUUCCAAGCAUCUGAAGAAUACACAUUCUACACAUUCCAGGCUCACCUCCUCCGCAGGCUCUGGGGUUGUUCUGCCCAGUGUCUAUCUAUCCACCUUAGGCCACAUUGUAAGAAAGCAAAAAUUAGCAGAAGAAACAGAUGUGCUUGUGUGUUUGUGAUGGAACUCUACAGUAAUAACCCCUUUUCUCUCUCUCUCUCUUUCUUUCUCUCUCUCUCUUUCUUUCUCUCUCUCUCUCUCUCUCUCUCUCUCUCUCUCUCUCUCUCUCUCUCUCUCUCUCAAUUAGAAGAAAGUCACAGUCCAUUGGUUAUAUACCUAAAAGUUUCUGACUCAGGCAGAAAAGGCAGUGAAGAUGGUCAUAGAGGCUUAAAUUUGCUAUCUGAGCUCCUCUUCCUGCUAAUCGUUCUUUAAUUCUUUGUUCUCCUUCCCUCAUAUCAUUCCAAUUAAAUUCUUGUGUCUCAUCAAUGCAAGAAUGCUGUGGGAGUGUUGUGUGUUGGUGGAUGCUACACCUGACUUAAAUAAAUCAGUCAGUUCUGUGUGGAUAGAUGUGGUAGCUAAGAGCCUUCUUCUCAGUGUUUACAAACCAUCGAUUUACUCAUAUUUCUUCCAAAUAUCUGACUUUCUUCCAAAUGUCUGAAUUACCACUACUGGGGAGAAAGGUUUUCAUUGUUGGUGUUGUUGUUUUCCUUUUUUCUUUUUUUCUUCCUGAUGUGUUUAAUUUGUAGGAAGUAGUUGAGUUGAUAGAUUAUACCAUUGCUUCCGUCAGAUCUUGGCUAUGAAUUUGCCAAGAGAACUGGGUCUUCAGAGAGUGAGAUAGCCUUUCUAGCUUUGUGAUGAACUUCACUCAGUGAGCUAUGCCACUGGAAGGUCAGCAGCCACUAAAGUUACCCAAGCUAAUGGAAUAAUAAAAGGAGGACAUGAAAUAACAGAUCUAUUAAAGCUAAGUAAGAAAACUUCAAAGGGUGGGAAAGGCUUCAUGGAAGGCAUAUCUCUAUAUUGCCCUUCCCAGUCUUCUUUUAUGGAACUUACAGCAAGAAUUAGAUGGAGCCUGAAAUAAUCUUUACUAGAUUGGUCAUUUUCUGUGCAUCAGAGUGGGCCAGCGAAGAGAGCCAAGCACACCCCUCCUUCGUCUCAAUCAGAGAUACUCAUCCAUUCCUGGGAAAAGUGAGUGAGUGCUUCAGGGAUAGCUCCCUACAGAUGAGCCCUGUCUUACUGCAUGAGAGAACUAUCUGCAGUCUCCCAAGGAGCCUAGAGUCCCAUCUCUUUCUGACAAGACAUAGCUUUAAUUGCCUUUACUUCCUAUUGAUAUGUCUUAGCAAUAUUUUAGGCUUGGAGAGGAAAAAGGAUACACUUCAUCCUGAGUCUAGAUAAAUUUUCUGGCCAAUGGAUAACUAAGAAUUGUUAUGAAAUAUAAGUGGGGAGAGGCACCUGGCCAGCACAUGCCAAGGUGUCCCCUUGAGAAAUUGUACCAUACAAGGUAGGGUUUAUUUGGGAGAAAGGAGGGGGAUGAAGAAGGGAUAGAUGAGAAGGAAUAGAGGCAGAGAAGUGGACAUGUAGACAGGGAGACAGAUAGGAGCAGAGGUGUGAAGACAGAGAGGGGCACAGAGAAGGACAGAAAGGCAGAGAGAGCCUGGCAGGAACACAUAGGAAAAAGAGACAGAGGCAGAGACUGGGGAGGGGGAGAGGAAGAGAGGUGGCAGGGUAGUCCUUUUAUAUGCAACCCACACCUGAAACAUCUGGGGGCAGGUGAUGACAUAAACUAUGUAUGUCACUGGGAAGAGCCUACUGGAACUGCCUGUAAUCUAACAAGAAUCCCAAUUACCAUUGACAGUAAAUGCAUAAGGCCAUUCUUCUUUCCAGCUGCGAUUCUACACAUCUCACCAGAAAGUUGAUUUGCAGGAAAAGAAAAAAGUUCUUUUCCUCCCCCAAAUUCACUGGCUCCUGCUACUGCAUUAUUCAAUUAUAAUCUCAUCCAAGACAUUUCUGAAGGAACCCUGUAAUUUCAUUUAUCAAAAAGGAGAGACUAGAAGGGCAAUGUUUCUCUGUAGUUGUUUGAGGUAUAACUGGAGAGCCAGCAUAUAAGUAGAUUGAAUAAGAUUUCUAAUGCUAAGAUACUUGUGAGAUCAUGUAGCCCAUAACCACACGAGGUGUGCCAUUCUUUCCUGGAUGACCACUCUCUUAACCCUUAUGUUUAAAAGCUACCUUAAAGGUGUCACGAUAAACAGGGCUCUUUUCUGAGAUGCCCCACAUGCGUGAUAUCUAGUGCACUUUAACCUUUCUCUAAACAUGUUUCCUUCCAUUCUAGAAAUAUCAACUCUCCUUUAUAGUAGGUAAUCUUUAAAUUAUAUAUAUAUGUUUUUCUUGUUUUUUGUUUUUUUGGUUUUUUUUGUUUUGUUUUUUGUUUUUUGGUUUUUUUUGUUUGUUUUUGUUUUUUUGUUUUUUUGUUUUUUUUUUUUUUGAGACAGGGUUUCUCUAUAUGACCCUGGCUGUCCUGGAACACACUCUGUAGACCAGGCUGGCAUCUGACUCAGAAAUCUGCCUGCCUCUGCCUCCCAAGUGCUGGGAUUAAAGGCAUGUGCCACCACUGCCCAGCUAGUUUAAUAUCUUAAAUAAUGUAUUGGCUUGUAAAUCCUUCAUCUAUCACAGUACACAAUUAAUACACAACUGAGAUGAUACAUUGUAUAUUGUUCUGUGUGGAAGCCCAUUACCUGAUUUUAUCUGAGUCAGAGGCUCGAUAACAUUCAUGGAACAUCUCAGACUGCUGCGGGCCAUAGAGUAGACCAGUACCUCCUCCAUUUUGCCACUGAAGCUUUUCUAUAUAAAAUAUAUAUUGUUUACAAUUUCAGCAGAUUGUAAAUUGAAAUGAGACUCAUGUAUCUGUAAGCAAGCAUAGUCAUGCUGAAAUCUACUAUCAGGAUAUUUUUUCAUUAACUUACUAUAUACACCAUAUUUGAAACCUCAUCAUUACAUAUUAAAACUUCAUUUAAAAUGUUCUUAUUCCAACUUGGGAUCAUUCUAGGGAGAAUCUAGUUUAACAUUGAGUUGUCAUUAUGAUUAAUGUAAGAACCUUCAACAUCUUGCUUUUUAAUAAUUGUUUGUUUUAAAUAUCAAUUAUGAAGAAGGUAUUGCAGUUACCUAAGGUUACAAAACAAUCCCCAGAAAUAUUUUAGCCUCAUAUUGAAACUACUCUUCAUGAAUAUGUAAUACAAAAUAGCAUAAAAACAAAAACAAACAAACAAGCAAACAACAACAACAACAACAAAAAACAGGCAUUCUCAACAUUUGUUGUCAUUGUAUUUUCAGGUGAAUUCUUUGUUACUUCCAGUUUAGUAUACUCAAUCAAAAGCUAGAAACCAUAUUUCUAAAAUGGUUAUGUUUCUUCAAGGCAUUUUGCCCUGUAUUGUGCCUCUGGUGUUAUCUGGCUGAUAUAUAUGUAUAUUCUGGGUUCCUUUGGUUGUUGUUUAUAUAUAUUCCAGACUUGCCAUUUGUGAAUUUUUGAAUAAAUGAGGUAAAUUGACUUAACUCAUCUGGUCACUUACAAAUGAUAUAAUUAAUUUCACUACAAGACUGCCAGUGAGAAUUUGCACAUUUCUGUUGGUCAGUGGAGAAGCACAGGUAUCAGGAAUAUAUAUCUACUAAAAUAUAGGUAAUAUUUUAGUCCCGAGACCAAUGGCUUGUGAUAUAAGUAAGUCUCAUAUAUUUUGCUUCCCAUGCUUAUAGUCUUCUACUUGGUAUUAUGAUCCUCAGGCAGUGGGAGGAACAGGCUUUAUGAAAGAUAACAUAGAUGGAAAUGAUGAAGUACGAAAUAGGUAGAAUGACAAAUAUAUUUCAGUCAUUCUAAAUGUUAUAAUUAAAAAGAACCACUCUAAGAAUGCAUAGUUGAAUAUUGAAGCCUCGGUCUAACCCUAAAACUGGACCUCUGGUAAGUGUACAAGCAGCGGGGAUAGUGCUGGAUUUCGUCAGACCAUAAUGACUGUGACCCGACAUUUUACAGCCUAAACUCAUAAAGCCAAUGAGUCCAAAAGCCUCAUGAGUAUAGUAUUAGGUUCCUAUCAAUGAACACUUUUAUUUUGAAAUUUUUCCAGGGAGUAUCGAGGAACAAAGGUAUAGGGUGAGUUUUUCCAUUUUAGAGUCUAAGGUCUUAUGCCAUGUAACAAUUAGAUUUUAACGUCACAGGAUUCUUUUAUCAGUUGCCAAAAAAAGCAGGUUGACUAUUUUGUUUUCCCAGGAUACGCUUUUGGAACGAGUCCAGAUCAUUUAAAUUUGAUGUAACCUCCUCAGUUCCUUCACUUACUGGCUGACUGGCUCUGGAAAAGCUACGUUAACAUUUAAGAUGUUAUUAUAAAAGGCAUUUUAAAACACUCCACUCAAAGUUCCCAAACCUAGUAUAUUUCACUCUUUCUGCCCUAAAGCCAGUUCAUUUCUACUUGAUUUGUUCUAAUUAAUUGAAUGCACGCAUAUAUUUCAGGAACUCUUCGUGGCCUAGAGACUUUAGACAGUCUCUCUCAUGGUCUCACUGAUGGCCAUCAUUGCGACCAGCCAUCACCAUCCGGGGCAUCUCCUGAAAACGCGUCAUAUCUUCAACAAAACAAAACUAAAAACCUUAUAUAUUUACAUGUGUCUCUUAUCUUCAUGCUCAAUUUAGGUUAAAUUUUCUUCUUUUUAAAAUAUAAAUAAAAUGAAUAUAAGAAGUACUUUAGCCCGGGCGUGGUGGCUCACGCCUUUAAUCCCAGCACUUGGGAGGCAGAGGUAGGUGGAUUUCUGAGUUCGAGGCCAGCCUGGUCUACAAAGUGAGUUUCAGGACAGCCAGGGCUAUACAGAGAAACCCUGUCUCGAAAACCAAAAAAAACAAAACAAAACAAAACAAAAACAAAAACAAAAACAAAACAAACAAACAAAAAAAAAGAAGUACUUUAGACUCUUUACCAUAUACAACAAAAUUAAAUAAUUUCCCAUUGUAUGCGUGGUAAUCUUUGAAGUCAAGCCAGUACACACAUGCACACAUGCUAUUCAUUUUCAGGUAUCUACAAUGUUGACUGUAUUGGGCAAUGUGUUGCCAGGUCCAAACUUCUAAUACAUAAAUCACACUAAGUACAUGGAUCUAAUAUUACAUUUGAAUAAAAGUAAUUACAAGUGUUUAGAAAUGGUUUUGAAGAAUAUGUUGGUAGUAUUAGAGAAAUUCCUCAGUGGUUAGGCACACAGAUUGCUCUUAGGUAAGACCAAUAUUUUAAACCCAGCACCAACCUGGCAGCCAACAACCAUUUGUAACCUGGUUCUGGGAGAUUUGAUACCCUCAUCUGAACUUUCUGGUCACCAGACAAGUAUGUAGCGAGCAGACAUAAAUUCAGAAAGAAAAUGCAAAACAAACAAAUAAACAAAAAACCCUGAAACAUAAAAAUUAAAAAUUAAUAAUUUUUUUGGAAAAAUGCAUUGGCAACAAGGUAGAGUAACAUUAUAAGCAUAACAUAACCAUUUUAUGGAAGGUACCGAAGGGCAUGACUUAUGCCAAGUCCAGCUCCUUCAGUUCGUGUUUUUAGUGAUUCUGUGUUUACUCACCUAAAGGCUGCUCCUUCUUAAAAACAAUUGCCUGGAUGUAUUCUACUUGUGUUGAAUGUGAUUUCAGGUGCAUUUCCACCAUUAAAUCUGUCUAACAUGCUUACCUAAGUGUAGAUGAAUAUCAAAUGAAGAGAAAAUCAAGAAAUCCCUUUGAUGAAACAACAUGUGCUUAUGUAAAUGUAAGGGGGAGUAAGUAUGAUAUGCUAUUAGCAUAAAAUCUCUGUAUGUGAACUUAUACUCCUUGCUUUUGCUUAUUAUCAUAGCCAUGUUUGAAUUAUUUCCUUUUCAAUGUCUUUUGAAUCAUGAAUAUUGGAAUUUUUUUUAGUUAUUCUGAAAUUUUGAAUAGGCAUUUUGACACUCAUUAUCUAUUUGCGUAUAAAUGAUAGGUUUUCCAAAUAAAAUUAUCUAUGUUAUCUGAUCUAUUCCUUUUUCUGGUAAAUGAUGGAUUAUUUUUAUUGAAUUAUUUGUCUGGAAAAUUUUUACAUUUCUUUGAGAUAACAUGCAUUACCUUUAAUUAGGCCUACUUAUUCAAAUAAGUAUAGCCUUUAUACAGUGAAUAGCUAUAAAUUAUCAUGUUCCAUCCCAUCAUUGGAAUAUAACUACCCAAAAAUACUAAUAUACAAAUAAUAAUAAUAACAACCCCAUUAUUUAUAUUGUAUAUGUUUAUACAGAUGCAAUGAAAAUUGAAGUAUUUAUCUUUGAUGUGGCAUCAAAUCCCUGCUUUUUCACUGGAAUAUUUCAUAUUUUUUACAGCAGCAAAAUUCACAUCACAGUUUCACAGACCCAAAAUACCAGGAUAUUAAACUUUUGUUGGUGGAUAGAGUGAGAGGUCAUACUUUAUAUAUGAAGUGAAUUCAUAUAGUAUUCAGGACUUGGUCUUUCCUUUUCUUGUUCAUGUGAAAUAUGGUUGGCUAUAUCUACUUAGAGCAUGGAUGAAAUAAUUUUUGCAAUAUUACAUUUUAUACUGUGUUCAAUUCAUAUACUAUAUACUGCAAUUAUUAGUCUUCCCUCUUUUAGGUACUCAUUAGCUGAAAACAGUCCAUCUGAUGGCUGGUUGUAUCUGUAUAUUUCCUGGUCAGGAAAGUAGAUGUGUGAAUUGACAUUAGGUGGUGUUUCUUACAGCUGUGCUAUGCACAGGUGGUACCAACACAACUUGUGUUGCUCUUUGUCCAUUUAGCUAGCCACUCUUCCCAUUGAAGCCUAUUCUAUUUAUUUUCGUAAUAGCCAAAAUGUUCUUUCCUAUUUACUGUUUUCUGUGGAAAGAAUGGAGCCUUAGAUUAGUAACCUCCUCGUGCUUUCAUUUCAGAGACUAAAAUAUAAAAAUAUUUAAUUAGAUCCGUUCUUCUAUAAAACUUUUAUAAAAUAAUCUUAUCUUAAUACUUUGUUUUAAAAGUUACUAUUGAUUUCAAUUAAGUCUGAUAGUCAAUACUCUUCUUCUUUAUACUUUUAUUCUAGAGCCAACCAAGCCAUGUUUUCUGAGCACAACCUCAGAUAAAAUUAACUCUGUCCCAAUCAGAAUAAAGAUUAUAAUGACUGGAAGCUCCAGUUUGCCCCUAUAUUAAAAUACUCAAUUACCUUGCUACAGUUCCCUGUUUCAAGUCCUACUUUCUUUUUUUUCAAACUCUAUAUAUUUGAAUACACACAUGCACAGAUCCAGAUAUGCACAUGAAUCGUAAUAAGUUCAGCAUGUCAAUGCUUUCCUUGAUAACUGAGGAUACUUACAUAGUAUUAAUAAGGGCAUCUUGAGUCCAGAUUUCUCCUACAGGUGUUUUGUUUUGUUUCUUUGUUUUGAUGCUGAUUGUAUUUUUUUCUCUGUGUAUUUUGUCAUCAUCUCCCACCCCACCCCCCUUUUUAAGGUUGUUUUGUGGCAGUUGUUUUUUGUUUAUUGUGGUUUUUUGAAUUGAAUAUUUUCUUUAUAUUUCAAAUGUUAUCCCCUCUCCUGGUGUCUCCUCUGGAAACCCUGUAUCCCAUCUCCCAUCCCUCUGCCUCUAUGAGGAUGCUUCCCUACCCACCCAUCCACUCCCACCUUCCAGCCCUGGCAUUCCCCUACAUGGGGGGCAUCAAACAUCCUCAGGCCCAAGGGCCGCUCCUCCCACUGAUGUCCAACAAGCUCCACUUUCUUAGUAUUUUCUUUUUGUUUGCCUUGGGGAGUACUUUCUCUUUCACUAGAACAUGUAUAGUAAAGUAUUCCAUCAUACAAAGUAAAAAUAAAUCACUUUAUUAUGUGAAAACAAACUGUAAAAUAUUGACAACAGGACAAAUAAUAUCACAUGGUAACAAAUCCAUGCAAAUGGCUACAUCUAAAUUUUAACUGAAGAUAAUCAAGUGAAAUUAAAAGAUAUUUUUCUGAAGUAUCAAAGGAAAAAGAGGUUGUAAAGAUUUACCUUUUGUAAUUAUAGUUACAGUAUUUCUCCCCUUCCUGUUUUUUCCUCUAACUCUCCCCAUGUAUGCCUUGCUCACUCUCAAAUUCAUGACCUCUUUCUCUUUAAUUUUCGUAUCCAUAUGAAUGUUACCUGUACAUGUAUGAAUUCAAGGCUAUUGGAACUCACUCGCUAUUGAAUAACCAAUUAUGUGUUCUUCCCAGAAGAUCAUUAUUUAUUCCUUAUCUAGAGCUCAAUCUUUGUGAUAGAUGGGACCAUCACAGAAAACCACAGUCAAUUAAAAUGCAGGAAAAAAAUUCUAUAACAUAAUUCCUAUACCUAAAACUCAGGGACUACUGAAGAAGAGGAAGCAGAAAGAUUGCAAGAGGCAGAAGAACAGGAAUUUUGCUGUGAGAUUGUCUCCAAGAAACGCCACAGAGAUUGCAGCCAUGAGAUAAAACUUUUAAUAACAGCCAAUAAUAGAUAUAAUAGAUGUAAUAGGCAGGUCCUAUUACAUGGAAGUCUAAGGCAGAAUGACUGAGAGUUUGAGUUCAGCCUGAACUAAGUAGAGAGACAUUGUCAAAGACAAACCAAACAUCACAACAAAAGCGCAUUAACACAGAGAGAAGUCAAAAGGAGUGCGUGAAUCACAGUUAAAUACACCCUGAAUGCAGUCAGAGAAAAGCAUAGUCAUGUCUGAUGACGUGACACAUAGCUUACGUGUCAUUUUCUCAAUGCACUGGUUCCAUGGACAAAUGAUAGUGAAAUUGGCCAGUGAAUUCCAAACAGAGGGGACUAUAUUCUGGUGAGACAAGAGAAUGGGUAUUCUCACAGGGCAUCAGAGCUCCCCAUGCCCGUAGGAAUGUCAUUUGUGUUAUGAUAAUAGUCAUUGCCAGUUCUCAAAACCGUACUGUACUGUGACUUUCUUCUCCUUUGUGCAUUUAACACACAGUCAGUUUGUACUAACUCUCUUUAGAUGGUUUGCAGGAUUAUUUUUUUAGGUUCUUAACUUCAGGGUUUGUUAAGGUAGAUCGUUAUGAAUAAAGGCACACAAAAUCACCAACAUAUUUGAAGUUUAUUCUAAAAGAAAUAUCCAAAAUCAAAAUAUCUGGCUUGGAAAGGACUGUUCAUCUUAGGUAGCUGAGCUAAAAAUCACAGCU
Molecule: long non-coding RNA, 14062 nt
Filed under: Mus musculus (house mouse)
Lineage: Eukaryota; Metazoa; Chordata; Mammalia; Rodentia; Muridae
Description: long non-coding RNA chr16:77613670-77627732
Source: RNAcentral